RNAcentral lists this ribosomal RNA (782 nucleotides) under uncultured bacterium. RNAcentral describes it as "bacterial SSU rRNA". It matches the Rfam family "Bacterial small subunit ribosomal RNA", at positions 8 to 796 of the family's 1533-position model. The record is from RNAcentral.
AGAGUUUGAUCAUGGCUCAGAACGAACGUUGGCGGCGUGGAUUAGGCAUGCAAGUCGAACGAGAACCACUGGGCAACUGGUGGGGAAAGUGGCGAAAGGGGCAGUAAUGCGUGGGUAACCUACCUUGGGGACUGGGAUAGCCAUUCUAACGGAUGGGUAAUACCGGGCGAUGUAACGAGGGCGCAUGUUCUUGUUACCAAAUGAGUUUCGCCCCAUGAGGGGCUCACGUGAUAUUAGCUAGUUGGUGAGGUAACGGCUCACCAAGGCUGAGAUGUCUAGCGGGUGUGAGAGCACGACCCGCGCCACUGGCACUGAGACACUGGCCAGACUCCUACGGGAGGCUGCAGUCGAGGAUCUUCGGCAAUGGGCGCAAGCCUGACCGAGCGACGCCGCGUGUGCGAUGAAGGCCUUCGGGUUGUAAAGCACUGUCGAGGGGGAGGAAAGCCCGCAAGGGUCUGACUAAUCCCUGGAGGAAGCACGGGCUAAAUUCGUGCCAGCAGCCGCGGUAAUACGAAUCGUGCGAACGUUGUUCGGAAUCACUGGGCUUAAAGGGCGCGUAGGCGGUCGAUCAAGUCCGGGGUGAAAUCUUUCGGCUUAACCGGAAAAGUGCCUUGGAUACUGAUUGGCUGGAGGGAGAUAGGGGCAGCUGGAACUUCCAGUGGAGCGGUGAAAUGCGUUGAUAUUGGAAGGAACUCCGGUGGCGAAAGCGAGCUGCUGGAUCUCUUCUGACGCUGAUGCGCGAAAGCUAGGGGAGCAAACGGGAUUAGAUACCCUAGUAGUCC